AUCAUCUUUGUAGCAGAUCUUCAGUUUCCUCCGAAGCCCAGCAUUCCUGAUGAAGGCCUCUUGUUCCGAUGAGCUGUUUUCACUCUGUUCCCUCCAGUCCCUUCUUUCCUGCCAGAGGUUGGGUCAGCCUCCUCCUGACCUUUUGCCCAGUUCUGUCCUCGGAAGCAAGUUCUGACCUCUUGUCCCUGCGACCCUUCUGUUACCCUCAGCUUGGAUGCUUGUUGUGCAGUUGGGCUUCUGUCUUCUGGCUGAUUUUACUCGCAUAAGCAAGUUCGGUGUGUUUCAGUAUGGGUCCAAUCUUAUCUCUGUGGCCCACCUUUUGACCCUGUUUCUUGCCACUGUCUUUGGCAUGUGGGGACUGGCAACAGGAUCUGUUCUCAAAGUGGGUCAAACCUGACGAAUCUUCAAAACAACAGAUCUCAGAAACACUGAUUUUGGAGCAGUUCCUGAGAAUGGUUCAUCCAGACCUAGAAGUAUGGAUCCGUGAGUGAGACCCCAAGACAGCGGUAAGAGCAGCGGAACUGGCGGAGGUUUUUCUGGCUGCAAGGAAAGGAUCCGGUCGGACGAUCAUUGGACAAGGUUCUACACGGUUCCAGAGGGAGAGGGACAGAGAAAAUGGACCCAGAGACCAAGCCCGGAGUAAGUCCGAUGGGGGUGAAAGGGGUUUUGGUCCACAUAGGGCAGGGUCUAAACCAAGGCAGUUUACAGCUAAUAAGUACCAUAAGCCAAAUCCUGCUAAGUUUUCAACGAUCCAGUAAAGAGGUUAGAUGUUGUGUGUAAUGAGUUAGGCCACACCCAAUAUUCUUGUCCUCUAACCAAUAAGUCGAAACCUUCCCUUUACUGUGCAGUACCUAGACCUGGGUUGCCAAAUUCUGUAGAAACUACCCAGAAAGCACUUACCACACCAGUACUAAUUAAUGGUCAUCGUGUUAUGGCAUUAUUAGAUACAGGUGGAUUUCAGUCCAUGGUUUCUGCUGACCUAAUAUCCAGAGAAAAAUGGAGGGAGGAUAAAAUCAGUAUUAGCUGUGUUCAUGUGACAGACAUCAGUAUGCUAUGGCAGAUGUGUGUUUAACGGCUAGUGGCCAGACCUUUUUGCUGCCAAUGGCUUUAGCUUCAAGCUUGCCAUUUGAGGUGAUUUUGGGUAAUGAUGUACCAAUCCUGCUAGAUUUAGUGCAAGAGGCAGAAAAAUCAUCAGAGCUAGAUCCAUCUAAACAUUUGGCUGCAGUCUCACUGAGUGUAGCUAAUCCACCUACAGGGUUUAACAUGGUUGUGACAAGAUCUCAGAGUGCUAGUGAGACCUUAAAGGAAUUGCCAUUCUGGGGGGAAGAUCUUGAACUUGGGAAAGGCAAACCUAGGAAAUCAAAAGCACAAAGAAGAAGAGAGAAACUGAGCAGAAAUGGUAGUAAACAGAUGGAAAGUUUAAACAUUUCUCUUCAGUUGAGUUAAAUCUCCCUUCUGAUGUAGCUAAGUUGCAGAAAGAGGAUGUUACCCUGAAACCCUGGUUUAGCAAGGUGAUAGAGGUUGAGGGAGUAAAGCAAGGUAGCUUGGGAUGUUUAGAGGAUGCAACAUAUGUCAUUAAAGAGCAAGUAACGUCGAAAUUAACUUUUUUUUUGCUGAUGAACUGUAUAAAUGAGUGUCUAAUAGUGUUUUAAAUGUGUGUAUUCAUUAUUUUAGCAUUUUGGUGCAUUUUCUUUAAAAAUUAAAAAUUCUGCCUAAAUACCACAGUAUAGCUCCACCUUCAGCUUAAAACAUAGAAUUUGACACAUUUUGAAUAAAUUUUAGCCAAUGGCUAAAGAGUAAGAUACUACAUAAACCAGUAGAGUACUACGUAGCAGCUCUGUGUCAAAGUUAUAAAACAACGAGCGUCUCGGCCACGCCUUGUGGUGAGUUGGGAGUUGGAUUUGCAAGCGAGUGUAGGAGGCCAGCCGUAAUUCAGCAUUAGCAUAUAGCAUUAGCAUAUCCUAGUCUUUAGCGUAGCCUUUAGUGUUAUACAUACUUAUUUAGUGUUAGCUUGGCUGUUGGAUAUUGUAGUUUAGUUAGUGUUUGGCUGUUAGUGUUAUUAGGAAAGUAGGUCGGGUUUAGUGCUCCAUAUCGUGUUAGUAUGGUGAGAAGGUGUAGUGCAGUGGGUUCGGUGGCUCUGUCGGGUUGCACUCCUUUCCGCUGGACUUAGAAAUUAGGCGCCAGUGGUUGUGCGCAAUCGGUGUCUGGAAAACAUUCAGCUCCCGCCUGGUGCUGUAGUUUGCAACCAGCAAUUUACCCGUGAUCCUGCACGUCUCCGUUUGAAGAGGGAGGCUGUGCCCACCGUGGCUCUUCCGCGAUUUAGAUGCAGCCCACCGACUUUGCUCCCCCACCAUGACGGGCUCCAGUCUGAGGUGAGUAAGCUAAAUAAAAGUUUUAACAUCUUCUAAAGACAAUUCCCUUCCUAAAUGCAAAGUUUGAGAGACGUGGUUCACUCCAUUUAGCUAAUAUCAGCCUGCACUGCCUUCGGGCUGAUUUGUCAAGUUCACAAAAUGUGGAACGGGAUGUAAGGUUAGAAUCAGCGGCGAAUCGGAGCAUAUCUCGUAGCCCUGGCCGACAAAACAAUCCACAUGACUGUCAGGCUCAGAAAAUUCGGGUUGUUUUUGUGUCAGUCGGUAAUUCUGCAACAGUGGCUCUAACUGACGCAGCACUAGUUGACAGACAUCAUUACAGCAUGAAAUCAGCACAGCGUGACCCGGUUCCGUGAGGAAUUCUGUUCAGGAGGUCGCAUUUCAGGCUCUCCACAUCAUAUGUGACUGACUUUUAUGUUAUAAUAACAUCACACACUAGGAAUGUUAUAAAGCACCUAUAUAGGACAGUUUCUUUUGUAUAUUAUCUGACUUUAUAAACAUCAAUGUGCUUCUAUUUUUUUUCAGGCUAAAUCUACCCAAGACACUGGCUGUCAGACUGAUUUAGUAGUCUGCAAGAAUGCACUUGUCCAGGCUGACGUGAAGCGUUACCCGUAGCAAAGGUGAAUUAUUUUUAAUCUUCUAUGUAAACAUUUUAUUACCUUCUAGUUUUAAUUUGUUUUACAGAUUGUUACACGUGAUUUUAUGCUCUUUUAAACAUUUAUAAAUGUGCUGCUUCUUUGUUUUUUAUAGAGCUCACAGCCGCAGUGUGUCUUGUGACACAGGGACCAUGACAGAAAUUCAUCUUCCAGAAGGUCCCAGAGCAGCAUCCACACCUCCUGAAAAGACCAAGAUGUGAGGUGUCUGCUGUUGAUUCCAGCUUCCACCUCAGUGACAGUGCAAGCUCAGUGAAAUGUUCAAGGUAAAAAAAAAUUAAAACAUUUCAGAAUUUUUAAGAUAUUAACAAUUAAAUAAGUAUGUGAUUACAUAAUGACAUCAUGAAGGAGGCUACUGAUUCUGGCCCUGUGACACUUGGUGGUGACGUGUGAGCUGAUUCACCUGGACACUCAGCAAAAUAUGGACUCUACACCAUGAGGCAGGCACACGUUAAUACUUAUAAGAGCACAUAAGCCUGGCUGAUCACCUGAUAACUCCUGUCAUCUGGUUAUGACAGCAUGAGUGUGUCCUCACACACCUGUAACCUAUCAGCUCAUCUGGCAGAAUAGAGAGAGAAGAGACAACACCACAUCUCCUGUUCCUGGAAAGCCUUCAGCCUUCCUUCGAUGACUGAGAACCUCCAUCAGCUCUGUCUCCUGUCUGCCUACAAUUAUUAUAAUAAAUAUUGUGUUUGACAA
Non-coding RNA from Nothobranchius furzeri (turquoise killifish), 3721 nucleotides. Lineage: Eukaryota; Metazoa; Chordata; Actinopteri; Cyprinodontiformes; Nothobranchiidae. The record is from RefSeq and is a predicted model, not a curated record.